Molecule: long non-coding RNA, 3004 nt
Filed under: Musa acuminata (dwarf banana)
Lineage: Eukaryota; Viridiplantae; Streptophyta; Magnoliopsida; Zingiberales; Musaceae
Description: long non-coding RNA (MACU_LNC004145)
Source: RNAcentral
AAUGUAAACAUACUUUAAUGGAGCAUCAUUGAAUCCUUUAAAACAAUUACAACCUAGAAAUAGUUAAUCACCACAAUUAUGGCUUUGGAUUACCUGUAUUAGAACAAAGAUCUCUGAGAGAUCAAGUAACUCUGGUAAAAAGGGUCCUUGAGCAACUAUGAACUCAUGCAUCAUAAAAUUGAUGAGGAAGCAAAAUUAAAUAUGGUAAACAGAUGAUUUACUGUUAUGCAAAGUCAAAGGAAUACAGGGAUCAUGUAUCUACCAAUAUACAUUUAGGGCUGAGACUCCAAAGAGAGCACUAAUUGUUCUGGUUGCUUCUUGGUUCAGGCAUGGGACCAAAUUGAUAAGGUGUUGUUAUAUCCGAGAAGAGAUCAUAGGGAUGGUGUUCUGAAGGUAAGCAGCAGCUGCAGCCACUCCACUUCCCAGCUUCACUUGGUAUCCUACAUCUCUGAGUACCAUUUCCACACCACUCAAGCAACCAAGCAAUUGCAACUGCAAAACUCGAAAAGAGGAUGGUCAGCAAAACACAGUAACAACUGGCUGCAUUACCUACCUAUAGAGCACAAACUUCUGGUAUGAAACUGUUCUACCCAUGAAAGUGUAUACAAGUUCACAUGAAAGCAAUGCAACAGAGUAGGGAAAACUACAAUGGAAAACAAUCUAUGCGCAAGAUCAUUAAAUGGUGGAUUUUAGAGGACAAUGCAAUCUGUCCCAAUAAUAAGAUUUUGUUGCCAGUAAAAGUACAUGAAUUUUUAUCUUAGCAUUAUUUUUAAUCAACUAAAUCCAUCAUAUUUUCUACUAAUAAUAAUUAUUGGUUUUUUUUGGUGAAUUCUUUUAGCAGAAUCUUUUGUGUGAGUUUUCCUCUUUAUCUUACUCUUCCCUUUCGAAUCAUCCAAUUUUUAGUAAUGGAUCAACCGUAUAGGCUACUUUGCCUUCCCACUCAUUUUUUUCUUGGAUACUUGACCUUGAUUCCUUGCUCUGAACUACAUAAUCUUUGCAAGAUGCUUGAACUAGUUAUAAUUGGAAUAAACAAUUACUUCAUGCAAAUUAGUGGCAUUGACCUGCAGCAUGUGAUAAAACAAUAUUUUUUAGUUUUCAUCACAGAAUAACAGAUGUUAGUCGGGAUUCAAUUUGCCUUAGAUACUAACUUUAGCAUAUUAUUGACAUCCCCCUGAUAAAAUGAAUGACAUGCUACAAUAUCUAGUUCACAGCAACAUGCAAACACCACAACCCUUAUGCUUAUGAUGAAGCAGAUAGUAACAAGAUACACAAUAUAAUGUUAUUUAGAUCACCUAUUUGCAUACCAAUUCUAACAUAGUUUUCAAAUUAUUCACACUCACUCUCUUUAGUUCAACUUUAUAAAUUCAGCAGCUAACUAUUCAAUCCUACCUGAUAUAAUCAGUAACUAUGGUUUAGCUGUAAAGUAAUCUGCAAUUCCAAACUAACAGCUAUCAUAUGAUAUGAUAUAAUGUAGCACAUUAAUGAUGGACCUUGAGGCAUCAUUAGUCUAACACAAUUACAUGGCUAAAGAAAUUCUCAGCCUAGACAUGAUGUUAUAUGCUAAAGAGAACUAUUUUAGUUCACAACUUCCAUGCAACAUUUUGAACCCUAAAUCAUCCAAAUAAACCAUCAGUUUAGUGUAAAGAUAGUCUCCUUUAGCAUCUGAAACUGUUAGAUGAAUUUUCAAGUCCAUAAAGUACAAGAAUGAUAUCAAGUAUCAUGAUUGCACCUAACCUUAUCUUUUGAUUGAUCAUAGCUCACUUCUAAUUGACAUAUGAACUAUUACAAUGAAUAACACUCAGUUUAGUUCACUUGAAGAUAACUAACACAAGAUAUUUCAAUCAGAAAUAAAGAUGUAGGAGCAAGUUUGACACGAGCAGCGAAGCUAACCAUUGAUAAAGUGAAUGACAGGUAAAACUGAUCUGAAGCCUAGAUCUCAAGUGUCGGUUUAGGCCAUAACUCAAUUAACUUACUUAACUCACAGUGGAAUAGUUAGCAGCAAUGCAAAUGCAAGAGUCACCUAGGAAAUUUAAUGAAAAAUGUACCUUUCAGAAUCCGAUAUCAGAAAAACACAGUUUUAUUGAAUGUCUUGCGAACAUUUGUGAGAAAUGGAGAUAAAAAUGCAUACAUGCCAGAAAUGAUUAUAUUCAUAUUCGUAAAUUGGUGGCUGCAGAAUAUUCAGGGGAGGCGAAAAUUGAUGAACUUGCUGUUUCUUUAGCACAUAACAAUUGAAAAAAUAUAUAUGUAAAUUCUUCAACCAUAAGAUAGUGAACUAUGUAGUUAUGAAACUGCUAAAGUAAACUACGAAUUCAGUACAAACCCAAAGAUUAGAAUGGAACAAAAUAAGGAAAAUUCAUUAAUUUUCCUAGUUUAAGUCUAGAUCUACCUCCAACAAAUGUUAGAAAGAAAACAAUUGCCUCAUGUUUCAUAAAUUCAGACACAUAUACAAGAUUCUAGUUAGAAGAGAAGCAAUAUUACUAAAUAAAAAAGGGAAGAAAGGAAGCCAUACAUCAUUAAGGUUGCCAAGAUGCCCUAUCCUGAACACCUUUCCUGCCACUUUAUUAAGACCAAGCCCUAAGCUCAGAUUGUAUCGUGUCCACGCUCUCUUCACAACAUCAGAACUGUUAAUAUGAGGUGGAACCAUCACAGCAGUGACAGUAUCACUAAACCAUUCCUCCUUCUGUGUACAGUUCUUCAAGCCCCAAGCCUCUACAGCAAGCCUGCAUUUUCAAAAGAAUGAAAAUUUGCAAUUAUAGUUUAAGAAUGCAGCAACUACCAAGAGUUAAAUUACUGAAUUGAACAAUUCUUUUGGUUUUCUAGUGUUUCCCACAAACACAAAGACUGAAGGUAUUACAGUUGACAGAGAAAAAAUCUUGAGGAAUAAUACAUCAACUGCAACUAUUUGUAUACCUUGUUGCUUUUCCAAGUCGGCUGUGCCUUGCGAUCACAUUGUCAAGGCCUUCCUCAAAUAAAAGAUCCAAAGCAGCUCUGAACCCAUACAGAA